CCCUUAGAUGUUCUGGGCCGCACGCGCGCUACACUGUUCGACGCAGCGAGUCUUAACCUUGACCGAAAGGUUUGGGUAAUCUUCAGCAAAGUCGAACGUGAUGGGGAUCGAUCAUUGCAAUUAUUGAUCGUGAACGAGGAAUUCCUAGUAAGUGCAAGUCAUCAGCUUGCGCUGAUUACGUCCCUGCCAUUUGUACACACCGCCCGUCGCUACUACCGAUUGAAUGGUUUAGUGAGAUCUCUGGAUUGACGCUGGCUAGGGGGCGACCCUUGGCCAGACUGUUGAGAAACUGCUCAAACUUGAUCAUUUAGAGGAAGUAAAAGUCGUAACA
Molecule: ribosomal RNA, 331 nt
Filed under: uncultured eukaryote
Lineage: Eukaryota
Description: partial 18S ribosomal RNA
Rfam family: Eukaryotic small subunit ribosomal RNA
Source: RNAcentral